AUACCACAACUCCCUUUACCAGAUGCAUUCACCACAACUAAACACACCCCUGUCAACCUCUACCGGCAAACCACACCACCGGCGCCCCCUCUAAUCCCCUUCAUCUAUCAACCGACGUCUCAACCUCUUCUCUCUAUUUCAUCCCCUUUACAAAAAAUACCACUAGUCGAUAGACCCCAACGGUCUCUUUGCCUCUUUAUUCUCCUCUCUAACUAGCUGUUACUUCGAUAAACAACCACCGCAUCCAUCAUGUUGCCGACCAGUCUCGAAUUCAUAUACAUAUCUUGAACCAGAUCUCAAAUUGCUCAACUAUUAUAAUCUGGUACAUAG
This 330-nucleotide long non-coding RNA is filed under the name Capsicum annuum. RNAcentral's name for it is "long non-coding RNA (CANN_LNC022547)". The record is from RNAcentral. Lineage: Eukaryota; Viridiplantae; Streptophyta; Magnoliopsida; Solanales; Solanaceae.